UGAAUACGAGACGCUAAGGCGUUGAAGUAGUGUAUGUCAUACUUCCAAGAAAAGCUUGCACUGUCAUAGAUAAAAAACGCCUGUACCAUAACCGACACAGGUGGGUAGGUAGAGUAUACUAAGGGGCGCGAGAUAACUCUCUCUAAGGAACUCGGCAAAAUAACUCCGUAACUUCGGGAGAAGGAGUGCCUUAUUUAUAAGGCUGCAAUAACAAGAUCCAAGCAACUGUUUAUCAAAAACACAGGUCUCCGCUAAGUCGUAAGACGAUGUAUGGGGGCUGACGCCUGCCCAGUGCCAGAAGGUUAAAGAAGUUGGUUAGCAAUAGCGAAGCUGAUAACUGAAGCCCUGGUGAACGGCGGCCGUAACUAUAACGGUCCUAAGGUAGCGAAAUUCCUUGUCGGGUAAGUUCCGACCCGCACGAAAGGCGUAAUGAUUUGGAUACUGUCUCGGAGAGGGGCUCGGUGAAAUAGACUUGUCUGUGAAGAUGCGGACUACCUGCACCAGGACAGAAAGACCCUAUGAAGCUUUACUGUAACUUGAAAUUGAAAUUGGACUUUAUUCGCGCAGUAUAGGUGGGAGGGUUGAUUGUAAUCUUGCGGGAUUAUUGGAGCCAUCAGUGAGAUACCACCCUUGUAAUGUUAGAUUUCUAACUUUGAAUCAUUAUCUGGUCAAAGAACAGUUUCAGGCGGGCAGUUUGACUGGGGCGGUCGCCUCCUAAACGGUAACGGAGGCGUACAAAGGUUUCCUCUGAACGGUUAGAAAUCGUAUCUAGAGUGUAAAGGCAUAAGGAAGCUUGACUGUGAGACCUACAAGUCGAGCAGGGACGAAAGUCGGUCUUAGUGAUCUGACGGUACUGAGUGGAAAGGCCGUCACUCAACGGAUAAAAGUUACUCUAGGAUAACAGGCUGAUCUCCCCCAAGAGUUCACAUCGACGGGGAGGUUUGGCACCUCGAUGUCGGCUCAUCGCAUCCUGGGGCGGUAGUACGUCCCAAGGGUUGGGCUGUUCGCCCAUGAAAGCGGUACGCGAGCUGGGUUCAGAACGUCGUGAGACAGUUCGGUCCAUAUCCGGUGUAGGCGUUAGAAUAUUGAGAGGAGCCUUCUUUAGUACGAGAGGACCGAGAAGGACAUACCUCUGGUGUACCAGUUAUCGUGCCAACGGUAAACGCUGGGUAGCUAUGUAUGGAGUGGAUAACCGCUGAAAGCAUCUAAGUGGGAAGCCCACCUCAAGAUAAGUAUUCUCAUC
This 1243-nucleotide ribosomal RNA is filed under the name metagenome. RNAcentral describes it as "bacterial LSU rRNA". It matches the Rfam family "Bacterial large subunit ribosomal RNA", at positions 1564 to 2818 of the family's 2925-position model. The record is from RNAcentral.